This 253-nucleotide unclassified non-coding RNA is filed under the name uncultured Solirubrobacterales bacterium. RNAcentral describes it as "contains 16S-23S intergenic spacer region". It matches the Rfam family "Bacterial small subunit ribosomal RNA", at positions 524 to 776 of the family's 1533-position model. Lineage: Bacteria; Bacillati; Actinomycetota; Thermoleophilia; Solirubrobacterales. The record is from RNAcentral.
UACGUAGGGGGCUAGCGUUGUCCGGAAUCAUUGGGCGUAAAGCGCGCGUAGGCGGCCCGGUAAGUCCGCUGUGAAAGUCGUAGGCUCAACCUUCGAAUGCCGGUGGAUACUGCCGGGCUAGAGUCCGGAAGAGGCGAGUGGAAUUCCUGGUGUAGCGGUGGAAUGCGCAGAUAUCAGGAGGAACACCUAUAGCGAAGGCAGCUCGCUGGGACGGUACUGACGUUAAGGCGCGAAAGCGUGGGGAGCGAACAGG